RNAcentral lists this long non-coding RNA (228 nucleotides) under Nicotiana benthamiana. RNAcentral describes it as "long non-coding RNA (NBEN_LNC026813)". The record is from RNAcentral. Lineage: Eukaryota; Viridiplantae; Streptophyta; Magnoliopsida; Solanales; Solanaceae.
UGGUAAUCAUAUUGACAAAUUAUUUUGGCGUACAAUAGGUACGUGACCAAUGACCAUUCAUGUCAUAAUAAUGACAUCAUCUCAAACCUUCUUCUAGGGGUGAGUGUGGUAUCAUCUCAAAACUCCUUCUAGGGGUAAGUGUGGUAUAUUCAAUACCAAUUUCAUGUUCAUAUUCUUCCAAUAGUGAAUAUAUAUUCGUGAAUCAGAUGUUGUCACAUUCACUGCGGG